UGGAGGUUCUAGUUGUCUGUUAACUUUAUUUUGAUUGAAACGGAGGCAUAACAUGUCCUAGAAAAAUAAAGAUUUAUGAUACAAACUAGACACAGGGGUCAGGGUUGCCCCAGGGGUGAGGGGAUCUUUGGUCUGGGGCUGGACGUGAUCAGGCGGCCUCUAGUCCUGGAGGAGCCUCACCCAGGCCUCCCCGCACCUGCCUCCCUUUUCAGCAGGAAGGGCCCAGCUGGGAGGGGCUGGUGGUCCGGGGCGCGGACUGCCUGUCCUCCACCCUCCAAGUGGUUCUGGGAACGCUGGAUGUCAGUGGAGCUAUUAAUAGUGUUUUAGGGAGUGAUAGGGAGAGGGCUCAAGGGGGCUGGAAAUCCAGCCACGUGGCAGGACUUUCAGCUCACAGCUAGUACUGGGUUGAUGGGGGCACAGCCCCGGAGUCAGGACCCCCAAAUCUCCCCAUAUACUGGGGACACAGAGCAAGGAGAGGGCUGUAACAGAGGAGGCCUCCAAUCCAGAGGACGGUGUCCCCGGGCAGGAGCAGACAGUGGGGAGCCCCCUGGCACCUCCAGGGCUUGGAGAGGUUAAGGGGCCCAGGGAUACGUAGUGUGUGGGAUCUUCAGCUCCCAGCGGUCAUGUCCGAGCGAUCCCCUCGUCUGGAGCUGUCCUGGACCUUGAGCACCAUUGUCAGGAGAGGCGAUGAGGCCCGGCCGGGUCACAGUUCCAGGGGGUCUUCCACAGGCACCGACUGUAGCUGGGUCAGAACCUUGGUCUCGGCUUCCAGCCCCUCAUCGACUUCGCCCCCCGCCGUGGACCCCAGGAGCAGUCCUUCAGGGUCAGGGUCCGGCAGCCUCAGCACGGUGUGGGGGGCCUGCGUCCCCAGCCCCUUCUCUGCUUCUAGCAGCCCUUCUGCGCCUGCGCUCAGUUCCAGGCCUGCCGGCCAGACGGGCAUAGCUGCAGGCGACAGCAUGAGCCCUUCCGGCGGGGGCGCCGGGAAGCCCGGCAGGAGGCCGGAGGAGUCCGCAGGGAAGGGCAGGCUGGCGGCAGUGGUGGCGGCAGGGGCGGGUGGCGGCUGUGGCGGCUGAUGAGCAGAGAGCGGGCCGAGGGCGUGGACCUCCGGGAGGGCAGGGCUGGGCGCCACUGGGAGGGCUCCCUCGGGCACCGAGAUGGCUGCGUCUGGCUUCAAGGGCAGGGCCAGGCUGGGGGCAGGUGGCAGGACCUGGGAGACCAGCAUGCUUGUGGGGAAGGUGGCGGUGAGGAUGAUCUUGCCCUGUUGCACGGCCACGCCUGUCACGAUGGGGCUGCCAGACACGGGGUUGGCCAGGAGAAAGUUUCCUGUGGGGACGAGAGGUGGGCCAGGCGUCGGGAGGGUUCUGGGACACACCGCCAGGGACAGGCUGCCCCACCUCCCAGAAGCCCACCGACAGCACUCUCGGCCAGCCCAGCCGUCACCCAGGCCCCAGCCAGGCAGGAGGUACCUGGGGCCGCAGCCGAGGGCAGCUGCAGGGCGGUCACGCCCACGCCGGAGUUUAUCAGGUGCACGUUGGUAGGGCCCGCGGCAGCCGCCACCUUCACAGGACUGCCCGGCCCCGCGGCUAACAGUUGCAGUGGCCCCACAGCCUGGGGCAGCGUCACCACCUGUGAGGUGGGUACCACCUGGGGCAAGUUCAACAGCGGGGAGGUGGGGCCCAGGCCUGCGGGGUACCCAGGGGGUGGGGAAAGCGGCACCACUUGGGGAGCAGCUACAGAAGGCACCGGUCCCGGGGGCAGAGGAAAGGUGGCGGCCGGCGGGGGGCCGGGCACCACUUGGGGCAGAGGCCCCGGAGCCUCUUCUCCGGCCGGCACCGAAGCAGCCCCCUGGGCCUCCUUGGUCUCCGGGGCCUCGGGCUGAGCCUCCUCUAGUCGAACCUCCCCGGUCUGAGGGUCCAGGACCAGGGAGGUCUUGCCCUCACUGGCCCCCUGGGGACUGGGCUGCGGGGGCGGUGGUGGUGGAGGAGCGCCACUGCCCCCCGUGAGCAGCAGGGGGCCCAGGCUGGAGGCCUCCCCCAGGGCCAGGCUGUUGAUGAUGACGGGGCUCCCAUUGAGGAGCACGGCUGGGGAGCUGCCUGCAGCCAGGAAGCUCCCAUUCACCAGGAUGGAAGAGGAGGCAGGGCACGGUGCUGGAGGGGCGGCCCCCGCCAGAAAUAUGGAGCCCUGGGCAGGGGCCUCGGAUGCCACUGGAGCCACGCCCCUGUCCAGGUCCUCGGGACUGCGGCUGGACUCGUCCUCAGUCGUGGGGUUCCCGUCAGACUCGCUGGCCAGAGAAAGGAUCGUGAGUUGUGGUCCUCGAUGCCUGAGCUUCCGCAUCGGCCAGCAAGCUGCCCUGCAGGAGCACAGGCCCACCACUGCCUCCCCACCUCUCCCCGGCCCAAACUUCUGUGGCCAAUUUCAGGAGGUUAUAAAACCUCCUCAGUCAGACCACCCAAGGCCCCCUGAGACAGAGCGUUUCCAAGUCCAGCACUGAUACCUCUUCAUAAGGGCCGAAGCUGGCCACAUCGGAGGGAGGAGGCCCUCCUCUCCCAGCCCCUUGGCCUCGGGGCCCCAGAGGCUGAGCACUGGGCUGCCCGAAGUCCCCUGGGUCAGGCUGCAAGCAGCCCAGCGUCUUCGGAGAGUGGAGAGGCAGCCGCCCGCUCAGUUCCCGGUGCCUUCCCCCCACCCCCGGGGCGUCAGAGAAGGGAGAGAGGCCGGCGCGAGGGGUGGGAGGGGAAGGGCUUGGGUUACAGGGAAACCGGAGCUGGGGAAGGUUCACGUUUCACAACAAAGACAGACGACGGACCACGCUGUUUGGGCACACAGGGGGGUGGGGGGGGGUGAGGAAGAGCCUCGGUCAGGGAAAGGCCCGGCAGCCCGCGGGCGUGAAAGAUGCCCCCACGCGGGAUGGAUGGACAAAGGCCCGCCCCCCUUUCCGCAGUCCCCCCGUUUUCUUCACUGCCUCCCCCUGGCCAAGAACAUGGAUGGGAUUCGGGAUGGAGCUCUGAAUGGAGCAGAGGGAAGAGGUCUCCCAGCCUACGCGACAGAAGUGAGGUCGGGGAGAGGGCCCCGGGCGUGUGCCAGUUCCGUCCACACGUAUUCCCUGCGCUGGGGGGCGGGGAGCGCCUGAAGGUGUGUGCAGGAGGUGUCCCCAGGAGCUCGGCGCGGGUAUGGGGGAGAGGGGGUUGGUAGGUAGCACGUCCCCGGGAAAGCGGGACUUGCGCCGCCCGGGUCCCCUCACCUCUUGCAGGGCGCGCCGCCGCCCCCGGUCCGAUCGCGCUGUCGCCGGUUCUUGAACCAGUUGCUGACCUGCGUGAGCGAGAGGCCGGUGAGCGUGGCCAGGCGGCGCUUCUCGUCCGGCGUAGGGUAGCGGUUGCCGCGAUAGCAGGCCUUAAGCGCGGCGCGGGAGCGCUCCUUGAAGCAGUAGACGGUCUCCUCGCCGUCCCAUAUGGUCUUGGGCAGAGGGAACUUCUUGCGCAGACGGUACUUGUCCACUGCGCCCAGCGCGCGGCCGCGGGCUCGCUCGGCCUCGUGGUAGCGCGCGCGCAGGUAGAGGUCCUGCAGAAAGGCGUGGUGGGCGGCGGGGAAGGGGCGGCUCUCGAGCAGUCGGUAGAGCUCGGCGUACUCGCCUCGCUGGAAGGCCACCAGGGCCCGAGCGCGCAGCACCGGAUCGCUGCCACGUAGGCGCUCGGCCGGGGGCAGUGCGCCCAGGAAGCGGCUCAAGCGGCCGGCGUGGCCCGCCUGUAGCAGCGCCUCGCAAACGCACGCCACCUGCUCGGGCGAGAAGCGGAGGCCCGUGGGCGGCUCGGCAGCGGCCUCGGGGGGCGACCCGGGGACGCCCGGGGAUCCCGGGCCCUCCGCUCCCGCCGCCGCUUCGCCCGCCCCGGCCCCGGCUGCGGCCGCCGCCUCACCCUCGGCCGCCUGCAAAGUCUGCAGGAGCUGGCGCGCUUCCUCCUCCUCUUCUUCGGUCGCCGCCGCCGCCACCGCCUCCCCCCCAGCCGCCGGCCCCGCGCUCGGCUCCGCAGGCAAGGUAGCCAUGUUUUGCAACUUUGGGAAGUUCCUCCCUCCUUCUCCUCCUCCCUCGGGCUUUCCCCAGCCCCCCCCCCCCCCCCCCCCCCCCCCCCCCCUCCCCCCCCCCCCCCCCCCCCCCCCCCCCCCCUCCCCCCCCCCCCCCCCCCCCCCCCCCCCCCCUCCCCCCCCCCCCCCCCCCCCCNNNNNNNNNNNNNNNNNNNNCCCCCCCAGCCGCCGGCCCCGCGCUCGGCUCCGCAGGCAAGGUAGCCAUGUUUUGCAACUUUGGGAAGUUCCUCCCUCCUUCUCCUCCUCCCUCGGGCUUUCCCCAGCCCCCUCCCCCGCCCGUCCCCCCCCCUCCGCCCUCCCCUUCGCGCUUCCCGAUCUUCCACCCCCCGCCGACCCCGCGUCUCCCCCAGCAGUGCCAGGCCCAGCUCUCCACUAGGGUCUCUGUCCCAGUGUCUGUGUGUGUGCCCGCCCCCCUCCCCGUC
Molecule: long non-coding RNA, 4496 nt
Filed under: Lynx pardinus (Iberian lynx)
Lineage: Eukaryota; Metazoa; Chordata; Mammalia; Carnivora; Felidae
Source: RNAcentral